UACGGAGGGAGCUAGCGUUGUGCGGAAUUACUGGGCGUAAAGCGCACGUAGGCGGCUAUUCAAGUCGGGGGUGAAAGCCCGGGGCUCAACCCCGGAACUGCCCUCGAAACUAGAUAGCUAGAAUCUUGGAGAGGCGAGUGGAAUUCCGAGUGUAGAGGUGAAAUUCGUAGAUAUUCGGAAGAACACCAGUGGCGAAGGCGACUCGCUGGACAAGUAUUGACGCUGAGGUGCGAAAGCGUGGGGAGCAAACAGG
This 253-nucleotide ribosomal RNA is filed under the name uncultured bacterium. RNAcentral describes it as "partial 16S ribosomal RNA". It matches the Rfam family "Bacterial small subunit ribosomal RNA", at positions 524 to 776 of the family's 1533-position model. The record is from RNAcentral.